This 253-nucleotide ribosomal RNA is filed under the name uncultured bacterium. RNAcentral describes it as "partial 16S ribosomal RNA". It matches the Rfam family "Bacterial small subunit ribosomal RNA", at positions 524 to 776 of the family's 1533-position model. The record is from RNAcentral.
UAAGUAGGGUGCAAGCGUUGUCCGGAAUUAUUGGGCGUAAAGAGCUCGUAGGCGGCUUGUCGCGUCGGCUGUGAAAACCUGGGGCUCAACCCCGGGCCUGCAGCCGAUACGGGCAAGCUAGAAUUCGGUAGGGGAGACUGGAAUUCCUGGUGUAGCGGUGAAAUGCGCAGAUAUCAGGAAGAACACCCGUGGCGAAAGCGGCUCUCUGGAACGGUACUGACGCUGAGACGCGAAAGCGUGGGGAGCGAUCCGG